GACGAACGCUGGCGGCGUGCUUAACACAUGCAAGUCGAACGGAAAGGCCCUGCUUUUGUGGGGUGCUCGAGUGGCGAACGGGUGAGUAACACGUGAGUAACCUGCCCUUGACUUUGGGAUAACUUCAGGAAACUGGGGCUAAUACCGGAUAGGAGCUCCUGCUGCAUGGUGGGGGUUGGAAAGUUUCGGCGGUUGGGGAUGGACUCGCGGCUUAUCAGCUUGUUGGUGGGGUAGUGGCUUACCAAGGCUUUGACGGGUAGCCGGCCUGAGAGGGUGGACGGGCACCUUGGGACUGAGAUACGGAGCAGAGUCCAACGGGAGGCAGAGGGCGGGAAUCUUGCACAAUGGGCGGAAGCGUGAUGAGGAAACGCCGCGUGCGGGAUGACGGCCUUCGGGUUGUAAACCGCUUUCGCCUGUGACGAAGCGUGAGUGACGGUACUGGGUAAAGAAGCACCGGCUAACUACGUG
This 468-nucleotide ribosomal RNA is filed under the name uncultured bacterium. RNAcentral's name for it is "partial 16S ribosomal RNA". It matches the Rfam family "Bacterial small subunit ribosomal RNA", at positions 28 to 507 of the family's 1533-position model. The record is from RNAcentral.